AACAGAGUAGGAAAUAAAGCGUUAAGUGCCUUGAGGAUGGGAUGUUGCCUCUAGGACGAAGAACAAUUGGUUCGCGGUUUUAUUUCCGCAUUCGCUGCA
Molecule: non-coding RNA, 99 nt
Filed under: Enterococcus sp.
Lineage: Bacteria; Bacillati; Bacillota; Bacilli; Lactobacillales; Enterococcaceae
Also listed under: 1 other name
Description: THF-I sequence
Rfam family: THF (Tetrahydrofolate) riboswitch aptamer
About the family: THF riboswitch presents a pseudoknot that joins P1-P2 and the loop of P3 and two THF binding.
Source: RNAcentral